Molecule: long non-coding RNA, 1938 nt
Organism: Solanum tuberosum (potato)
Lineage: Eukaryota; Viridiplantae; Streptophyta; Magnoliopsida; Solanales; Solanaceae
Exons: 4
Source: RefSeq, a predicted model, not a curated record
AUUGGUAAGUACUAUUUGGACACAAUUUUUUCUCUAAACUAAAGGCACUAAGGAAUGCAUGCCUUUCAAUUAAACACAACCCCUGAGUAACCUUUAUUUCUAACAAAAGCUUGCUGUGAAAAUAACUGUAAAUUGCUUUCAUUCUGGAUUAAUCAUAAUCAAACUUAAUCAUCAUAUAGCACCUGUUGAGGAUAAUUGUAAAAUUCUCUUUUACUCCUUUUCUAUAAGGUAAAUCAUACCUGAUUAGUGCCCGUUUGGAUCGACUUAUUUUAGGUGCUUUAAGCCAAAAUAGCUUUUAUUUUGGAGAAGAAAAAGAUAUGUUAGUUCUUGGAUGAUCUGCAUAAUAUCCUUAUCUGUGAGGGAAAGAACUAAAAGAAAAUUAUCAUACACAGCUUUGAAGAUGUAGGAAGUUUAUGAACAAGAAGCUCCAGAUUUUCUCAAGUAUCCAACGCCACACGCGUUAGAGUCUGUUCCACUACACCUAUUUGAAAUGGCCCCACAGGAGCACUCAACAUUGAUUUUCAACUGUCCAUCACAAUUGGUAGCCUAUUUCUUUGCUAAGAUUCAUGGGGUAUGCUGAGGAGGUACCGGCAUUGAUCAUCACAGUAGGAACAUUGUUCCUCCCCAAAUUCCAUGAUUGAACGUGACAACUAUGACGAAGCCAAAGCUAAGCUUAAAGAGAAUUAGGGGAAUUGAAGAUGUAGAUGAAGAGUUCAAUGAUUUAGUUGUGGCAAGUGAGGCCUCUAGGAAAAUUGAACGCCCUUAGCUUGGAGGAAUUUGUUGCAAGAGAAAUAUAGGCCACAUCUCACAAUGGCAAAUUAUGAUCCCAUUUUUCCAGCAACUUACUGGAAUCAAUAUGAUUUUGUACCAGUGUUGUUUAAGACUAUUGGUUUUGGUGUUGAUGCUUCACUUUUCUGCUAUGAUCACCGGUGGAGUCAAUAUCAUUGCUGUGGUUUCUAUUUACUAUAUGUUUAUAAAUUGGCAAGGAGAUUCUUCAAGGGCCAGUUCAUAUAUAUGCUCCUUUGCCAAGUCUGGAGACAUGUACUUGUUACUUCUCUAGAAAUUAGUUGAUAUAUAACAAAGGUCAGAGGUGAGACUUGUUUAUUCAUACACCAUCAAAUUAUGUCCAUUAGUUGAUCUAUAAGAAAGGUCAGAGGUGAGACUUGCUUAUUCAUACAUCAUUAAAUUGUGUCCAUGUUUGAAAUAUCUAAAAUGAGAUUUCAAUAUCUUUAAGGUAGUUUGCAAUAGCCUAAAAAUCGAUUCACCUUUUGAAGAAAAAGAAACAUCAGUUCUUAUAACUCUAUUUUCUUUAUAUUUUGUACUUUCAAUAAGUUUUAAAGAGUUGAUUCACAUUCAUAGAUGCAACAUGAAAUGGAGCUUAAUCAUACAUAAAGCUUAAACUUGACAUUUUCUUUCUAAUUCUUGGAUUAUAGAGAAACUGAAAAGUUUAUACUGCAAGCUUUGAGCAUUUUUUGAGUUGUCAAUGGUCAGUUUUUAUAUACCUCACUUUCUACAGUUGGAUCACUUUUUUUGGUUGGUAAUUUGAAUAAACAUUUGGAGUUCUUAUUGGUUUUUUUACAUUGUUUAGAAGUGUGUAUUGUGAUUGGUAAGAUACUUGGUCUUUUUUCUCCAUCGUUGAAAAAAUAAUAUUGUGUGAGUUACAAUACUUCUAUAAUAGCUAAACAUCUAUUUAAAUAAAUUUUGGUUGAUUGAUAUUUACUUGCCUUUUGUAGGUAUUCAUGUUAAACUUCUCCAUAUGGUGGUUUUUGGAUGAAAAAAGGUUGUAUGACUCAUCAUAAGAAAUGAUGAAUUCAAAUGUGCUUAUGCACAGAUGGUAGAUAAAAGAAUUAUAUAUGCAUAGCAUGACAAUGUACAUAAGUGUUUUUGCUAUGAUUAUUUAUUUCACACAUGUAAAUAGAAAUGUCAUGUUCUACUGUA